This is a long non-coding RNA of Peromyscus eremicus (cactus mouse), 1301 nucleotides long. RefSeq lists it as uncharacterized. The transcript is spliced from 4 exons. NCBI's taxonomy places the organism in Eukaryota, Metazoa, Chordata, Mammalia, Rodentia, Cricetidae. The record is from RefSeq and is a predicted model, not a curated record.
UUUUUUUUUUUAUUUACUGUCUUUUUAAUUCACUGUCCUGCAGUGAAUUUCUUGUGUGCUAUUGUAGCUUUCCCAUUUGAUUAUUUUCCCAAGAACUUCCAACAGUGUGAAUGAUCAUUUACUGAGCACAACUUCCCAUAUACUAUUGGGGUAUUUUGAAUAACAUUCCCCAGCGGUGUUUAUUAGCAAACAUUUGGACAGGGCUAUUCUCCAGACAAAAGUAUUUUAUCUGAGAUACUUCUCCUACAUCCAAGGACAGACUCCAGAUAGAUAAGCAUUAGCUCAUCUCACCUACAGAUAAGAGAAAAUAACCACUAACAAUUAAAUCCUUAACUCCUUACCUUCACCCUGGUUUCUUAACACAAGACCCUAAUUUAAGAGAUUUACUGCUUACAAUUCUGGGAUGGUGUUUGGGCCAUCUGCUAGUUACUGGGAUAAGGUAAAUAUUCCCACUGACCCAAGGAGACAAUGGACAAGGCCAGGCGGAUGAUAGGUGCCAAGCUUCAUUUCUUGUGUGAAUUAAGCUUUUGCCCUCCCUCUUUUAUCUCAGCCCAGGUGCUAUACCAAGUUCUAAAGAUUCCCUCUUAGCAAUUAACUCAGAGCGAAAGUGCUUUUACUAACCAAAUACUACACAUUGUGAUGCAGGUUGCCUAGCAACUGAGUAAACUUCCCCUGCCCUACCAGAAAGCCACAUAGCCAGAGAAUUGCUGAUUGUUAUGUGUAUAUAAACUGGAAACUUUAGAGACUUGGGGGAGAACAAAGAUGGAAAGAACUAAGAUAGAACAGUGAGAAAACAACAGAAGGGACAGAGAGGAGCUAAGUAUGAAAACAUAAAAGAAGCUGUGUAGAUAGAAUUGACUUAGAAGAAUAAAGUGAAUGGGCUAUAGAGCUCGGUAUGCUUAGAUUAUUUUGAUAUCCCUCAGAUUAAUUUCUUCGCCACUAGUAGUGUCUACUCUGGACCCUGGGAGAAAUCUGCACCAGCAGGACCACCAUGAGACAUGAUUAAGGAUACCCAGUACUGCUUCGUCUCCAAGGAACAGUCUUUUCAGAAGAUCCUGUCUAAUAUGGAGCACAGCCUCCCCAGUCUAGACUUGUACCAGCUUGUUGCCUCUGCACCUGGAAAGAACUCACUCCCUCUCUGCAGUCUCUCACACACCUGGCCCUGGUGAUGACAGCAGCAUCUCACAGAACGAUGUGGUCUGCAAGUGAGUGCUCACCGAUACCCUGCAUGCUGUACCACAGCACCACUCCAGCUCAUUUACUUCCUCUUCCCAGGCACGCACUUGGACACAGCGGCCCAC